RNAcentral lists this ribosomal RNA (460 nucleotides) under uncultured bacterium. Its description in RNAcentral is "partial 16S ribosomal RNA". It matches the Rfam family "Bacterial small subunit ribosomal RNA", at positions 338 to 795 of the family's 1533-position model. The record is from RNAcentral.
CCUACGGGAGGCAGCAGUGAGGAAUAUUGGUCAAUGGGCGAGAGCCUGAACCAGCCAAGUCGCGUGAAGGAUGAAGGAUCUAUGGUUUGUAAACUUCUUUUAUAUGGGAAUAAAGUGAGGAACGUGUUCCUUUUUGUAUGUACCAUAUGAAUAAGCAUCGGCUAACGCCGUGCCAGCAGCCGCGGUAAUACGGAGGAUGCGAGCGUUAUCCGGAUUUAUGGGGUGUAAAGGGUGCGUAGGUGGUUAAUUAAGUCAGCGGUGAAAGUUUGUGGCUCAACCAUCAAAUUGCCGUUGAAACUGGUUGAGUUGAGUAUAUUUGAGGUAGGCGGAAUUCGUGGUGUAGCGGUGAAAUGCAUAGAUAUCACGCAGAACUCCGAUUGCGAAGGCAGCUUACUAAACUAUAACUGACACUGAAGCACGAAAGCGUGGGGAGCAAACAGGAUUAGAUACCCUAGUAGUC